UAGGGAAUCUUCCACAAUGGGCGAAAGUCUGAUGGAGCAACGCCGCGUGUGUGAUGAAGGGUUUCGGCUCGUAAAACACUGUUGUAAGAGAAGAAUGACAUUGAGAGUAACUGUUCAAUGUGUGACGGUAUCUUACCAGAAAGGAACGGCUAAAUACGUGCCAG
This 164-nucleotide ribosomal RNA is filed under the name uncultured bacterium. RNAcentral describes it as "partial 16S rRNA". It matches the Rfam family "Bacterial small subunit ribosomal RNA", at positions 355 to 511 of the family's 1533-position model. The record is from RNAcentral.